This 497-nucleotide ribosomal RNA is filed under the name uncultured bacterium. RNAcentral's name for it is "partial 16S ribosomal RNA". It matches the Rfam family "Bacterial small subunit ribosomal RNA", at positions 28 to 507 of the family's 1533-position model. The record is from RNAcentral.
GAUGAACGCUGGCGGCGUGCCUAAUACAUGCCAGUCGAGCGAACAGAUGAGGAGCUUGCUCCUCUGACGUUAGCGGCGGACGGGUGAGUAACAUGUGGAUAACCUACCUAUAAGACUGGGAUAACUUCGGGAAACCGGAGCUAAUACCGGAUAAUAUAUUGAACCGCAUGGUUCAAUAGUGAAAGACGGUUUUGCUGUCACUUAUAGAUGGAUCCGCGCCGCAUUAGCUAGUUGGUAAGGUAACGGCUUACCAAGGCAACGAUGCGUAGCCGACCUGAGAGGGUGAUCGGCCACACUGGAACUGAGACACGGUCCAGACUCCUACGGGAGGCAGCAGUAGGGAAUCUUCCGCAAUGGGCGAAAGCCUGACGGAGCAACGCCGCGUGAGUGAUGAAGGUCUUCGGAUCGUAAAACUCUGUUAUUAGGGAAGAACAAAUGUGUAAGUAACUAUGCACGUCUUGACGGUACCUAAUCAGAAAGCCACGGCUAACUACGUG